Cicer arietinum (chickpea) is the source of this 3194-nucleotide RNA transcript. It is a transcript of the gene named plant intracellular Ras-group-related LRR protein 9-like, with no coding region annotated. The record is from RefSeq and is a predicted model, not a curated record. NCBI's taxonomy places the organism in Eukaryota, Viridiplantae, Streptophyta, Magnoliopsida, Fabales, Fabaceae.
GAACAACUCCAUCGUGGGAUACUAUGGUAACCAUUUAAUAAAAGGCAAGGUUUUUGCAAUUCUCAAUCGCUGACUCUUAAAAUGUCAUCCCAAUUUCCCAAUCCUUAAGAAGUGAAUGUAGUUCCCCCUAUUCCAGCGCUUGAGCUUAAGAGCAACGCUAUACUAACUAAUUAAAUUUCCACCGUUUAUUCUAAAUCUCAAAGUUACAUAAAUUUGGUUGCGUAUCUUCAUUUGGUUUCAUUUCAUACUCACUCUGUCACCGCCAUGGAUCCCAACCCAGGAACCUUCCCCAUCCUCUCCUACGUCAUGUCUCGUCUCCAAUCUUUUAAAACCAAAACUCCAACCGAAGAUCCCCAAUCUCAAUUCGACGUCGAACAACCCCAACCGUCAGAUCCUUCAUCUUCAUCUUCUUCUUCAAUCGUUGGCCAAAUGCCCAAUCUCACAGACCCCAAAUUGUUAGCCGCAAUGACCCGGGCCAUCUCAGAUGUUUCACAGGCCCGAUCAGUCCUAAAUAUCAUCGGCGACAGGCCCACCCACGAGGAAGUGGACAACGCCAAAGCCAAACUGGUCGAUCUCGAAGCCCAUUUAUCUCGUCAAUUGGAAGAGAUCGUUAUGCUUCCGAGGCCUCCCGAAAUUGACGAACAACAAUGGCGGAUUCACCUUACCGAAAGAGAGAAGCAAUGCAGGGAAUCAGCUGAGAAUGAGAAGCGCGUUUACAAGUCUCUGUUGCAAAGUGAUGAGAUGCACGAUGCUUACGAGAAGCUACUCAAGGAUGCAGAGACGCGGCUUGUGAAGAUUUAUGAGGAUGAUGGUGAGAACGAUAACGAUGGUGAUGGUGAUGUGGUUAACGAUGGGGAAUGUGAAGAACACGUUGCGAAGAUAUUGCAGGAGGCGCGUGAAAAAGCUCUUGACCGAGUGGAUCUUACGGAACAACGGUUGAGAACGCUUCCUGAGGCAUUUUGUAACAUUUCUUCGUUGGUGGUUCUCAAUCUCUCCACCAAUCAACUUUCGGUUAUUCCUGACACAAUAGCUGAGUUGCAAACUCUUGAGGAGCUUAAUAUCUCUUCAAAUCUUUUGAAGUCACUUCCAGAUUCAAUUGGUUUGUUGCAAAAGUUGAAAAUCCUCAAUGUCUCUGGAAAUAAGUUGACUGCCCUUCCUGAUUCCAUUAGUCAGUGCAGAUCAUUGGUGGAGUUGGAUGCAAGCUUUAAUAGUCUGUCAUAUUUGCCAACAAAUAUCGGAUAUGAAUUACAGAAUUUACAGAAGCUUUUGAUUAGUUUAAACAAGAUACGAUCCCUUCCUUCAUCUGUUUGUGAGAUGAAGUCGUUGCGCUAUCUAGAUGCUCACUUUAAUGAACUACAUGGGCUUCCUAUUGCAAUUGGGAGAUUAACUAGUCUUGAAGUUCUCAACCUGAGUAGUAACUUUAGUGACCUUCAAGAAAUACCAGAGACAUUUGGUGAUCUGAGUAGCCUCAAGGAAUUGGAUCUCAGCAACAAUCAAAUUCAUGCACUUCCUGAUACAUUUGGUCGCCUUGAUAGUUUAAUCAAGAUAAACUUGGAUCAGAACCCUAUUGAAUUGCCACCUAUGGAGGUUGUCAAUCAAGGGGUCCAAGCCAUUAAGUCUUACAUGGCCAAGAGGUGGAUUGAUAUAUUGGCAGAGGAGGAGAGCAAAAACACACAUGAACUUCAAGAACAAGGACAGAAUGGUUGGUUAACACGAAGUACAUCCUGGUUGAAAAAUGUUUCGGGAAAUGUAACCGAGUAUAUCGGAAGUACCAUGUCCCCUAGAACUCCCAAAGAGAAUUAUCUUGAUCAAGAGCUAUGAGUUUAUGAAGUGGCAGUCUAGCAAGCAUUGGGGACUUGCUACUGGAAGCUGCCUAAUGUUAUCACCUAGCUAGGGAGAGUGAAUGACCAUUCUCUCCCGAAUACCUACUCAGCGCUAAUAGGCGAAGCCACAUCAACCGCACAUCUAGUGAGAUAGUGAGAUAGAGCUUGCAAGGGAGAGUUAAAGAUAGAGGAAAAGGAAAGAGGAGAACUGCAAUCUACCACAUAUGGAGGCCAUGAGUGGUGGCGAGGUCAUCAUUGUAGUGAACGUGGCCACGUUGAAGCUCUGUUGGCGAAGCACUUCGAGAUCAACGUUACAAUGUGACUGAAUGAGUAUGUUGCAUCCUACGACAAUGACACGCCAAAAGGCAGGUUUGCUGCAGAGUGGCGGUGAUCAUCCCUCUCUACAUCUCCUCCCUUACUUCCUUCUGUAUGCAAGUUUUUUUUAUGAUGAUUUUUCUUCUCUCCUCUGAUUUUUGUUUAAGUUAUACAUGUUCUUGUGCUUUUUGGGUUGAUGUUGUUCUUUCUAUUUUUGGGGUUAAAGGCUACACUCACAAUGAGAAGGAAGUGAUAUUGGCUUUGUGAUUAACAAUGGAGUCAUAGGAUCUGGGCAUGGAGUUGUGUUUGUGUGGAGAAGGAGAUGAAUAGAGGGCGAUUGAUAAUGUUAAAUUAUAUAAUAGAUGGAGAUGCUUUUGGUGUCUCUAUCAUCACUGGUGGACAAAGCGAAGAGGAUGAUUGUUUUAGUGUGUUUGUGAGUUUAGGAGGGGAGAGGAAGAUUUUGAAAAAAAGGAAUGAAGUGGAAAAAAUGGAAGGCUUUGGACGAGGAGGAUUUUGGGGUGUUUAUUUGUGAGAUUUUGGAGGGUUUUUAUAAAUUCUUUAAAUCCAAUCUACGUUGUUAUAUUACUCUCAAUAAUAAAAACAUUGUUAUAUUACUCUCAAUAAUAAAAACACAUUAACCAUAAACAUUCAUUUAUAGUUCUCUAAAAAAAAUGAUUUUUUUUUCUCUUCCCUCCUCCCUCCAAAAACCCUCUCGUCCAAACUCCCAAACAAAAUCUGAGUGUUACUUAGGGGCUCUCAUGUGAAUAGAUGCAUGAGGAGAAAAACUGGUGUGAUGGGUUUUGAUAGAUCUAGGACAUGCUAUCCUAGUAUUAUCCUUGAAAUCAUUUAAUAAUGAGUAAAUAUUCAAAAUCUACCCCGAAAUUUGGCACUCACACGAGGCGAAUCCCUUGCCUUGUCGAAACUCCAAAAUCAUCCAUGACUUUAAUAAAUGUUGAUUAGUUUGGUCUCUGUCGGUCUGAGUUUGUUAACAAAAAAUGAUACAUGCAAAGAGUUUCCAACUCUCUAUACUAUUGUUGACUUCUUCCUAUUUUUUCC